Molecule: long non-coding RNA, 1896 nt
Filed under: Heterocephalus glaber (naked mole-rat)
Lineage: Eukaryota; Metazoa; Chordata; Mammalia; Rodentia; Bathyergidae
Description: lncRNA (ENSHGLG00100051383.1)
Source: RNAcentral
CGCGCGCCGACGCCGCCGCCAUUUUAGUCGCCGCCGCCGCCUCAGCGAAGCGCUGCUCGAGGCGGGAGGGCGCCGCGGCCGGAGCGGGCCCAGGGCUCGGCACGGCGCCUCCCGCUCUGCCCCCGGCCGCUCGCCGCGCCGCUCCGCAGCGGGCCCCGGCCUCGCUAGGCGUCCCGCCCGUCCCCCCGCCCGCCCGCCGCCCCCGAGCCGAGCGAUGCCGCGCCGCCCCGCGCCCGCGCUGGCCCCGGCCGCCGGGCUGCUGCUCGCCGGGCUGCUGUGCGGCGGCGGGGUCUGGGCCGCGCGAGAAGUCCCCGGCCCUCCCUCUUUACAUUUCCCAGGACCUCUGCUCCUUCAGCUCCUCCUCAGGGGACUGCGCCUCCCAGCUUGCCCAAGCCAGCCCGUUUCUUUUUCCUCGGUGCCUCACUGGUGUAGAUGUCACCUCUCAGCCGAUGUUUUGUUCCAGUCCUGGCAUUUCCUUCAUUCCAAGUCAUCUUGGCCAUCUGACCCGCACUCCACAUUCCAUCGGUCCACUCUUGCAUCCCGGCGUUCCUGAAUUUGAUGUAAUGGGUGAAGAGAGCCAAGCAACCACAAAGCCUUGGAAGGUGGCCUGGGGCUGCAUUACUUGGCGACCUUUUGGGGUGGCUGUGGCCGUUGGAAGUCCGUCCCGCUCUUGUCCAGCCCCUGUGUCCUCCUCACGCUCUCAGACACACUACACACUGUGUGAAGCGGCGGCUGGCCAGGUGCUGAGUCCCAGACGAACAAUGUUUUAAGGGGUGCUCUGCACUAAGGAAAUUGUCAGUGAUGCUAAUUGCCCAGGUUCCUUUGACUUCCUUAGUAACUCUGAAAAUGUCUACAUGUAACUUGUUCCUGUGAGUGAUGUCACCAGCUCUUGUGAUUUCCUGUCCUCUUAACAGCACAAAAGCCAACCUGGAACGUCGUCCGUUCUGAGGAUCAAACUCACUGAACCAUAGACAGCAGUGUCCCUCUUUUUCCAGUUGGCAGUCCCAGCUGCCUGCCUGACACAGGGUCCUUCGAGACCAGCCCGUGCAGUCUCAGGUCCUGGGGCUCAGAUGCCCCAAAUCGCCCAGGCAGUGUGGCCUUCCUGUCCUCCCCCAUCUUGGACUCUAGCUCAUCAGUCUGUUGAUCCUGCUCUGUGUAAUAGGAAAAAAUGUGCUUCUUGAUGGGUUCAGUGUGAAAUACGAUUGGGUAGUUUCAUUGUCUGUGUUUAUCACAAGAAUCUUCUGUAUAUUCAGUUUAUAAAUAAUUUAAGAGCUCCAUGUCAAAGCCUUGAUCUCACUGUCCUUAAUUUUGUAGGAAUGUAAAUAAUAAAAGAGCAAAAAAAGAGGAAAAAAAGAAUCUCGAUGUUUCUGACUGCAUUUAUGGGUUUAUUAGACAAGUGUAGGGAGCAUACGUACAGCGGUACUUGGGGUAGCAGGUCUUAGGGGCUUUGCGUUGAUAAUGAAUGCCAGUGGGUCUUGAAUACCAUGUGGCCUUUUUGGAACUAUAUAUGAUAAGGUUUUCCAUUGUAUAUGAAGGUCAGGAGACUAUAAAAACACAAAACUUGGAAAUUAACAUCCGACUGUUACGCUAUGAUUCAGGAUAGCCCUGUCCUAUUUUAAUCCAAGAGAAAUGUGAUAAAGAAAAGGAAAAGGGCAAGCCUGUCCUGUAUUUUCUGAUAACAUUGCAAAGUAGGGAAUUUAAGGCAGUUAUAGCAUGUACUUUGUUACAUAACUAGAGUUCUGAUUGGCAUUGUUUAUUGAUAAGUGAAUGUGGACACAUCAACAUUUUAAAAUGUUCUGAGAAGGGCUGGGGAUGUAGCUCAGUGGUGCAGCACCUGCCUGGCAAGUGCAAGGUCCUGAGUUCAAUCCCUGGUAUGGGGCAGGGGGAAUAAUAAAA